AAAUAAACCGAAGAGUGUUUCAGGGGUUUAUGAAAACCUCUCUAUACUCUAACUCUUAUAUUACUGAUUGAGUGAUUUGAACUCCAAACAGCUCCCAAGGCAGCAAACAACUGGUAUGCCAGCCCAUGCUGCUGCAGGCAAAGCACUGGCCCAGAUGACUGAAGCGGACUGUCGCUCCUGGAUUGAGUCCAUUCAGUUACCAAAGUAUGUCAAGACAUUUUCUGACAGUUCCGUUUAUGGCCCAAUGCUAGAAGCAUUUAUCCAUCCACAAUUUGGAAGGCAACUACUCAUGUCAACUGGGAUAUCAGAAGAGGACUGUAUCUCUCUGGUACCAGAGAUCUACAGAUUGAAAGCUCGUGGGUUUAACAGGUCGUCUGCAAUCUCAGUUUAGUGCAUGUCAUUAGAAUGUAAUGCAACUCAUCUCACUGUACAUGCUUGUGUGAUUUACUUUACAUUUGAGGUCAUCUACAAGUACUGUAAAUGUUAAUGUUUGGAUCUGCCAAUACUGCUUACAUUUUAACCUAUUAUACAUAUUAUAAAAGGGUAGUUUACAUUUCUUGUUGAGUUCUAUGCAGGCUAAACGUAUCCACAGUCAAGGACAUUGUUUCUGCAAACUUCGGAGGAAAGCUGAAAAAAAAAGAUGUUGUUUGUUAUGUUUUUUUUUUGUUAUUUUUUUUUUUUGUUCAUCCUUAUGUUCAGGAUGGAAGCUCCUAUAGGUACAAUACAAUAUAGGUACUGCUAUAGGGAUUAUGGUCCUUUCAACAUUAGUUUGCAAUGUUUAUACUUUCAGAUGCAUCCAAUACUAAUGAAUUGCACUGAUGUGGAUCUUGAAAACAUGUAAUUAAACAAAGCUUGUGUACAAGCAGUUUUUCAAAUUUAAGGAAUAAUGUGAUUAAAAUGAUUUCUUGUUUGAUUGAUGUCUGUACUAAAAAAUAACAUUUGACUAUUCUAUAAAUAAACUGUUGCUUUUAUGCUUACAUUAAACAGUGCCAUUUCAAAA
Nematostella vectensis (starlet sea anemone) is the source of this 1000-nucleotide long non-coding RNA. RefSeq lists it as uncharacterized. The transcript is spliced from 2 exons. NCBI's taxonomy places the organism in Eukaryota, Metazoa, Cnidaria, Anthozoa, Actiniaria, Edwardsiidae. The record is from RefSeq and is a predicted model, not a curated record.